RNAcentral lists this ribosomal RNA (272 nucleotides) under uncultured bacterium. RNAcentral's name for it is "partial 16S ribosomal RNA". It matches the Rfam family "Bacterial small subunit ribosomal RNA", at positions 332 to 616 of the family's 1533-position model. The record is from RNAcentral.
CAUGCCCUACGGGAGGCAGCAGUCGAGAAUCAUUCACAAUGGGGGAAACCCUGAUGGUGCGACGCCGCGUGGGGGAAUGAAGGUCUUCGGAUUGUAAACCCCUGUCAUGUGGGAGCAAAUUAAAAAGAUAGUACCACAAGAGGAAGAGACGGCUAACUCUGUGCCAGCAGCCGCGGUAAUACAGAGGUCUCAAGCGUUGUUCGGAAUCACUGGGCGUAAAGCGUGCGUAGGCGGUUCGAUAAGUUAGAGGUGAAAUCCCGGGGCUCAACUCC